UAAGGAAUAUUGGUCAAUGGACGGAAGUCUGAACCAGCCACGCCGCGUGGAGGAAGAAGGUUCUCUGGAUUGUAAACUCCUUUUUCCGAGGGCUAAGAAACGGGUAUAUCCUGUCGUGAAAGUACUCGGUGAAUAAGCCACGGCUAACUACGUGCCAGCAGCCGCGGUAAUACGUAGGUGGCAAGCGUUGUCCGGAUUUACUGGGUUUAAAGGGUGCGUAGGCGGUUUGAUAAGUCAGUCGUUAAAGGCAGCAGCUUAACUGUUGUAAGGCGAUUGAUACUGUCGGACUUGAAUUAUUUGGAGGUUGUCGGAAUGCGUAGUGUAGCGGUGAAAUGCUCAGAUAUUACGCAGAACGCCGAUUGCGAAGGCAGAUAACUACGAAUAGAUUGACGCUGAGGCACGAAAGUGUGGGGAGCGAACAGG
This 423-nucleotide ribosomal RNA is filed under the name uncultured bacterium. Its description in RNAcentral is "bacterial SSU rRNA". It matches the Rfam family "Bacterial small subunit ribosomal RNA", at positions 355 to 776 of the family's 1533-position model. The record is from RNAcentral.